AAACCAACCGGGAUUGCCUCAGUAACGGCGAGUGAAGCGGCAAAAGCUCAAAUUUGAAAUCUGGCCCUUCCGGGGUCCGAGUUGUAAUUUGUAGAGGAUGCUUCGGGUGCGGCCCCUGUCUAAGUGCUCUGGAACGGGCCAUCGGAGAGGGUGAGAAUCCCGUCUGGGACGGGGUGUCCGUGUCCGUGUGAAGCUCCUUCGACGAGUCGAGUUGUUUGGGAAUGCAGCUCUAAAUGGGUGGUAAAUUUCAUCUAAAGCUAAAUAUAGGCCGGAGACCGAUAGCGCACAAGUAGAGUGAUCGAAAGAUGAAAAGCACUUUGAAAAGAGAGUUAAACAGCACGUGAAAUUGUUGAAAGGGAAGCACUUGCAACCAGACUCGCCCACGGGGUUCAGCCGGCUUUCGGGCCGGUGUACUUCCCCGGGGGCGGGCCAGCGUCGGUUUGGGCGGCCGGUUAAAGGCCCCCGGAAUGUAACACCCCUCGGGGUGUCUUAUAGCCGGGGGUGCCAUGCGGCCAGCCCAGACCGAGGAACGCGCUUCGGCACGGACGCUGGCAUAAUGGUUGCAAAUGAC
This 571-nucleotide ribosomal RNA is filed under the name uncultured Aspergillus. RNAcentral describes it as "eukaryotic LSU rRNA". It matches the Rfam family "Eukaryotic large subunit ribosomal RNA", at positions 62 to 648 of the family's 3401-position model. Lineage: Eukaryota; Fungi; Ascomycota; Eurotiomycetes; Eurotiales; Aspergillaceae. The record is from RNAcentral.